UCAUGCCAAUCAGACUAGUUCUACAGACAUUGCUUUGAGGUAGAAACCCAUUGAUGAGCCAAAAGACAGACCUUUUUCUUCUUUUGAGAACAGAACUUCCCACUCAAUCUGCUUGAAAGGAAAUAAGUCACUCUGAGUCAUGGUUACCUGUCAGCCAGGAACAGAGUAGCACCAGAGAGGGUGGUGGCGGGAGUUUGAGCAACGCCUUGCGGGAGUUUGAGCAACGCUUUCAGAUUUUUGGUGAACUGGAGAAAGACUUUUUGCUCGCCAUUCACCAUGAAUGCCUCUGAUCUGCUCGUCAACAUCCAACUUGAAAUAAUAGACAUGCAGUGUGACUCAGAUUUGAAGGGGAAAUUUGCUGCAGCUGGCUUGGACACAUUUUAUCAGUAUCUAUUGCCAGGUUACCCCAACUUGACAUCUCUUGCUGCAAAAGUGUUGUGCAUGUUUGGAACCACAUAUCUUUGUGAGCAGGUUUUCUCUGCAAUGAGCAUCAAUAAAACAAAGCUUCGCUCAAGGCUCACGCACAAGCACUCGAAUAACAUCCUGAAAUUGGCUGCCACUCAGGAUGUGACACCUGUGAAAGCUAAAAGAUCCCAGGUUUCAGGAGCAAAAUAAACAAUAGAUGACCCCACUUAAAAUGCUGCAUGAGACACUGCAUCCUGAUAUAGUUCUGUGAAAAUGAUUGUCUUCUGUGGAAAUGUAAAGAAAGUGAACAGUGUGUGAUAAUAUCAGUCACUUCAGUUCAUAAGUUUGGUUGGUUGAAAUUGUUCAUGCAUUGCACAGCUUUUAUUUUUCUAUCAAUUAAUAGUGUAGCCUACAAGGUAGGGAGUAACUCAACCUUCUUGAAUAGUUUCUACCUCAGUUUGUAUGGUUUGUUCAGUUAGCACACAAUUAAUAUGUGGAAAUGACAAAUGAGGUAUUUGAUACAUAGAAGAGUUGUUUUAUUUAUUUAUUUUUAUUUAUUUUGUAUUUUGUUCAAUCCCAGAUAGGCUGUGACUUAAAGUUGAAUGGCUUUGUAAAUACACUGAGACAAAGUCUAAGUUCCAAUCACUGAGGCAUUGUGUUCUUAAAAUUGCACCAAUUUUUUCCGCAGAAUUUUCAACUGUGUGUUUUGUCAAGAGGAUUAUUUGUGAUGUGUACAUUUUCAGAAUGUGCUUGUUCUAUUUUGGACCAAAGUAAAACAAAGAAAACAA
Molecule: long non-coding RNA, 1193 nt
Organism: Thunnus maccoyii (southern bluefin tuna)
Lineage: Eukaryota; Metazoa; Chordata; Actinopteri; Scombriformes; Scombridae
Exons: 2
Source: RefSeq, a predicted model, not a curated record